CACAUGCACAAAUCCUGGUGUGAGGAAUAUUUUAAGCAUAUAUCUUCAAUAUUAUUCAUCGAGGACUGAAGUAAAUCAUGAUGCAGGAAAUGAACCACGGUGACCAGUCUGUAUUGGUGAAUGUCCCAUGUGAGCAUGAAAAGAAUGUGUAUUCUGAAGUUGCUGUAUUCAAUACAGUUAAUUGAUGGUGUCAUUCAGUUCAAAGAGAAGGGAACUCUGUGAUGCAUGGAUAGUGUGAAAAGAAAGUUUUGGCAGAUAAGGACUUAAAUUUCCUUUUUAACAUGUCAUAAUUCACUGAAUACAAGACUCUUCAAUACUGGAAUUUUUCAAAGUGAAUCUUACUGUGUUAAGUGUCUUCUCUGAAGCAAGCAUUGUGGCCAAAAGAGUGCAAUAGACUAAUCAGCUUACUACAAGGCUGAAAAUGGGAAGAAAGUCCUUUCCUUAAAGCAAAAUCUGGGUUCUGUU
Long non-coding RNA from Cercocebus atys (sooty mangabey), 465 nucleotides. RefSeq lists it as uncharacterized. The transcript has 4 exons. NCBI's taxonomy places the organism in Eukaryota, Metazoa, Chordata, Mammalia, Primates, Cercopithecidae. The record is from RefSeq and is a predicted model, not a curated record.